AUUGAACGCUGGCGGCAGGCCUAACACAUGCAAGUCGAGCGGAUGAAGGGAGCUUGCUCCUGGAUUCAGCGGCGGACGGGUGAGUAAUGCCUAGGAAUCUGCCUGGUAGUGGGGGAUAACGUCCGGAAACGGGCGCUAAUACCGCAUACGUCCUGAGGGAGAAAGUGGGGGAUCUUCGGACCUCACGCUAUCAGAUGAGCCUAGGUCGGAUUAGCUAGUUGGUGGGGUAAAGGCCUACCAAGGCGACGAUCCGUAACUGGUCUGAGAGGAUGAUCAGUCACACUGGAACUGAGACACGGUCCAGACUCCUACGGGAGGCAGCAGUGGGGAAUAUUGGACAAUGGGCGGAAGCCUGAUCCAGCCAUGCCGCGUGUGUGAAGAAGGUCUUCGGAUUGGAAAGCACUUUUAGUUGGGAGGAAGGGCAGUAAGUUAAUACCUUGCUGUUUUGACGUUACCAACAGAAUAAGCACCGGCUAACUUCGUG
This 484-nucleotide ribosomal RNA is filed under the name uncultured bacterium. RNAcentral describes it as "partial 16S ribosomal RNA". It matches the Rfam family "Bacterial small subunit ribosomal RNA", at positions 30 to 507 of the family's 1533-position model. The record is from RNAcentral.